AGCGAACGCUGGCGGCAGGCUUAACACAUGCAAGUCGAGCGGGCGUAGCAAUACGUCAGCGGCAGACGGGUGAGUAACACGUGGGAACGUACCUUUUGGUCGGAACAACACAGGGAAACUUGUGCUAAUACCGAAUAAGCCCUUACGGGGAAAGAUUUAUCGCCGAAAGAUCGGCCCGCGUCUGAUUAGCUUGUUGGUGAGGUAACGGCUCACCAAGGCGACGAUCAGUAGCGGUCUGAGAGGAUGAUCAGCCACACUGGGACUGAGACACGGCCCAGACUCCUACGGGAGGCAGCAGUGGGGAAUAUUGGACAAUGGGGGCAACCCCUGAUCCACGCCAUGCCGCGUGAGUGAUGAAGG
RNAcentral lists this ribosomal RNA (360 nucleotides) under uncultured bacterium. Its description in RNAcentral is "bacterial SSU rRNA". It matches the Rfam family "Bacterial small subunit ribosomal RNA", at positions 29 to 414 of the family's 1533-position model. The record is from RNAcentral.